CGCGAAGAACCUUACCAGGUCUUGACAUCCUUUGACCAUCCUAGAGAUAGGACUUUCCUUUCGGGGACAAAGUGACAGGUGGUGCAUGGUUGUCGUCAGCUCGUGUCGUGAGAUGUUGGGUUAAGUCCCGCAACGAGCGCAACCCUUAUUGUUAGUUGCCAUCAUUCAGUUGGGCACUCUAGCGAGACUGCCGCAGACAAUGCGGAGGAAGGUGGGGAUGACGUCAAAUCAUCAUGCCCCUUAUGACCUGGGCUACACACGUGCUACAAUGGAGAGUACAACGAGUUGCGAAGUCGUGAGGCUAAGCUAAUCUCUUAAAGCUCUUCUCAGUUCGGAUUGUAGGCUGCAACUCGCCUACAUGAAGCCGGAAUCGCUAGUAAUCGCGGAUCAGCACGCCGCGGCGAAUACGUUCCCGGGUCUUGUACACACC
Molecule: ribosomal RNA, 430 nt
Filed under: uncultured bacterium
Lineage: Bacteria
Description: bacterial SSU rRNA
Rfam family: Bacterial small subunit ribosomal RNA
Source: RNAcentral